This is a long non-coding RNA of Dermochelys coriacea (leatherback sea turtle), 1350 nucleotides long. RefSeq lists it as uncharacterized. NCBI's taxonomy places the organism in Eukaryota, Metazoa, Chordata, Testudines, Dermochelyidae. The record is from RefSeq and is a predicted model, not a curated record. The transcript has 3 exons.
CUGCCACGCCUUACAGCAUACACGGCUGCCUUCCCGGAACAGCUGUUCCUUGCAAACAUUUCCCACGGAGAUCUUCGGUUUAAUUCCGUGCAUUUGCAUUUUCACCGGCUCUGUCUGCAUGAAGUUAAAAUAAAACGUCACAGAGCAAGUCCGGCCAGAAAAUCCCAGCCUGGGAUUUUGCGGACAAUGGGCUCUACCCCCGCCCGGGAAGUUACAGAGAUCUUGGCAGAGGCCGCGUGGGGACUUGGGGGAAGGGAGCAGCAGGGAUUUCCACUUCUAUGAGGUAGCAGCAAGUGGGAAUCCAGUCCCUCCCUCUACUCCAGUCUCCAGCUCAAGGACCUAAACUAUGAAGCAACUGUCCACUCAAAGAAAGACCCACCCUACUUCACUUUUCCCUCAGCCAUUUUUUUGCUUUGGAACGUCUCUUCCUAGGCCUUAUCCAGCAUCGUCAGCCAGGUACUUCCCAGGUUCCUUCCCUGGUUAUUGCAAUGACCACAUGUAACUGAAAAGGAGAAAGUCAGCACUGAAAGCAGGUAGCCUUCCCACCAACGUCUCUGAAAGAAACAGCAGAUCAUCAGCAGAAAUGUACUCCACACAGUCUGCCAACUUUGCUCCUUACUCACACCUUCCCUUCCUAAAAACUGUUAUAUUCUUAUUUCACUCAAUAUCAUCUAAAAACACCACAUAUUAAUCAGCAAUACAGCCAAAGUGGAAAUGUAAGAAGUUUGCCUUUUAUUUUGCAUCUAAGAACAGAAUAAUUAUUUAACGAUUAUGGUAUUGGUUUUGCAAGAUUUAUAAAACUGAAAAGUAAUUAAUUGUUCACUUUAGCAGAUAUAUUAACAACAGUAAUGGAGGUUCGAUACUUGUACAAGCCUUUCAAUUAGAAAGUCUUUUGAAACAAACUUUUUUUUAUUAUUAAUUAGGGGCAAAGCAUUCUUUAAGGAAAAAGGCGAAGAUCAAUAUUUUGAAAGGUGAUUAAUGAUUUUAGGUAUCUUCAUUUUUGGUUGAGUGUCCAUUAGAGCUUGUUUAUUAAAUUGUUACAGAGUUUUCAUAUGAUUUUCUUCAUUUGUGCCUCUGCUUCAUGAUCUUGAUCUUCCACAAUACCUACAUUUCACAAGAAUGGUGGUUCUCAAACUAUCGGGUGCGCCUCCUAAGGGAGGCAUGGGAAUAUGUCAAGGGAGGUGCGAGUUGUGUGAUUUUUUUUUAAAAAGAGCUCUGGUUGUCAGCCCUGGAUGGCUGGGACUCAUGCAGAAGGGCUGUACACACCUGGGAGGCAGGGACAAAGGGGAACGCCGGAGCCCUACCACCCCAGAGCUGACAGCUGGAGCCUGGCCACCCAGGCUCAGGUUC